ACGCACGCUGGCGGCGUGCUUAACCCAUGCAAGUCGAGCGGUAAGGCCUUUCGGGGUACACGAGCGGCGAACGGGUGAGUAACACGUGGGUGAUCUGCCCUGCACUUCGGGAUAAGCCUGGGAAACUGGGUCUAAUACCGGAUAUGACCUCCUAUCGCAUGGUGGGUGGUGGAAAGAUUUAUCGGUGCAGGAUGGGCCCGCGGCCUAUCAGCUUGUUGGUGGGGUAAUGGCCUACCAAGGCGACGACGGGUAGCCGACCUGAGAGGGUGACCGGCCACACUGGGACUGAGACACGGCCCAGACUCCUACGGGAGGCAGCAGUGGGGAAUAUUGCACAAUGGGCGAAAGCCUGAUGCAGCGACGCCGCGUGAGGGAUGACGGCCUUCGGGUUGUAAACCUCUUUCAGCAGGGACGAAGCGCAAGUGACGGUACCUGCAGAAGAAGCACCGGCUAACUACGUG
This 461-nucleotide ribosomal RNA is filed under the name uncultured bacterium. Its description in RNAcentral is "partial 16S ribosomal RNA". It matches the Rfam family "Bacterial small subunit ribosomal RNA", at positions 29 to 507 of the family's 1533-position model. The record is from RNAcentral.